RNAcentral lists this transfer RNA (67 nucleotides) under Marmota monax (woodchuck). RNAcentral describes it as "tRNA.Ala". The record is from RNAcentral. Lineage: Eukaryota; Metazoa; Chordata; Mammalia; Rodentia; Sciuridae.
GGUUGUGGCUCAGCGGUAGAGCGCUGGCCUAGCACAUGCGAGGCCCUGGGUUCGAUCCUCAGCACCA